UACGGAGGGUGCAAGCGUUAUCCGGAUUCACUGGGCUUAAAGGGUGCGUAGGCGGGCAGGUAAGUCCGUGGUGAAAUCUCCGGGCUUAACCCGGAAACUGCCGUUGAUACUAUCUGUCUUGAAUAUCGUGGAGGUAAGCGGAAUAUGUCAUGUAGCGGUGAAAUGCUUAGAUAUGACAUAGAACACCCAUUGCGAAGGCAGCUUACUACACGAUCAUUGACGCUGAGGCACGAAAGCGUGGGGAGCAAACAGG
Molecule: ribosomal RNA, 253 nt
Filed under: uncultured bacterium
Lineage: Bacteria
Description: partial 16S ribosomal RNA
Rfam family: Bacterial small subunit ribosomal RNA
Source: RNAcentral